This 253-nucleotide ribosomal RNA is filed under the name uncultured bacterium. RNAcentral's name for it is "partial 16S ribosomal RNA". It matches the Rfam family "Bacterial small subunit ribosomal RNA", at positions 524 to 776 of the family's 1533-position model. The record is from RNAcentral.
UACAGAGGGGGCAAGCGUUGUCCGGAUUUAUUGGGCGUAAAGAGCGUGUAGGCGGCCUGACAGGUCUGCUGUGAAAACUCGAGGCUCAACCUCGAGAUGUCGGCGGAAACCGUCUGGCUAGAGUCCGGAAGAGGAGAGUGGAAUUCCUGGUGUAGCGGUGAAAUGCGCAGAUAUCAGGAAGAACACCUAUGGCGAAGGCAGCUCUCUGGGACGGUACUGACGCUGAGGCGCGAAAGCGUGGGGAGCGAACCGG